UACGUAGGGGGCUAGCGUUGUCCGGAAUCAUUGGGCGUAAAGCGCGCGUAGGCGGCCCAGUAAGUCCGUUGUAAAAGUCAAAGGCUCAACCUUUGAAAGCCGAUGGAUACUGCUGGGCUAGAGUCCGGAAGAGGCGAGUGGAAUUCCUGGUGUAGCGGUGAAAUGCGCAGAUAUCAGGAGGAACACCAAUAGCGAAGGCAGCUCGCUGGGACGUAACUGACACUGAGGCGCGAAAGCGUGGGGAGCGAACAGG
This 253-nucleotide ribosomal RNA is filed under the name uncultured bacterium. RNAcentral describes it as "partial 16S ribosomal RNA". It matches the Rfam family "Bacterial small subunit ribosomal RNA", at positions 524 to 776 of the family's 1533-position model. The record is from RNAcentral.